AGAGUUUGAUUCUGGCUCAGGAUGAACGCUGGCGGCGUGCCUAAUACAUGCAAGUCGAACGCUUCACUUCGGUGAAGAGUGGCGAACGGGUGAGUAAUACAUAAGUAACCUGGCAUCUACAGGGGGAUAACUGAUGGAAACGUCAGCUAAGACCGCAUAGGUGUAGAGAUCGCAUGAACUCUAUAUGAAAAGUGCUACGGGACUGGUAGAUGAUGGACUUAUGGCGCAUUAGCUGGUUGGUAGGGUAACGGCCUACCAAGGCGACGAUGCGUAGCCGACCUGAGAGGGUGACCGGCCACACUGGGACUGAGACACGGCCCAGACUCCUACGGGAGGCAGCAGUAGGGAAUUUUCGGCAAUGGGGGAAACCCUGACCGAGCAACGCCGCGUGAAGGAAGAAGUAAUUCGUUAUGUAAACUUCUGUCAUAGAGGAAGAACGGUGGAUAUAGGGAAUGAUAUCCAAGUGACGGUACUCUAUAAGAAAGCCACGGCUAACUACGUGCCAGCAGCCGCGGUAAUACGUAGGUGGCGAGCGUUAUCCGGAAUUAUUGGGCGUAAAGAGGGAGCAGGCGGCACUAAGGGUCUGUGGUGAAAGAUCGAAGCUUAACUUCGGUAAGCCAUGGAAACCGUAGAGCUAGAGUGUGUGAGAGGAUCGUGGAAUUCCAUGUGUAGCGGUGAAAUGCGUAGAUAUAUGGAGGAACACCAGUGGCGAAGGCGACGAUCUGGCGCAUAACUGACGCUCAGUCCCGAAAGCGUGGGGAGCAAAUAGGAUUAGAUACCCUAGUAGUCCACGCCGUAAAC
Molecule: ribosomal RNA, 801 nt
Filed under: uncultured bacterium
Lineage: Bacteria
Description: bacterial SSU rRNA
Rfam family: Bacterial small subunit ribosomal RNA
Source: RNAcentral